Molecule: long non-coding RNA, 1857 nt
Filed under: Marmota monax (woodchuck)
Lineage: Eukaryota; Metazoa; Chordata; Mammalia; Rodentia; Sciuridae
Source: RNAcentral
GUGAGAAAGGUAUUUGCCUCAGGAAAAGUACUUUGGAAAUUUGCAUGAAUGGGCUGCAUCUGUUCUUCAGUGCUAAACGUUUUUCCCCACCUGUGUGAGGCAAUGAAUUAGAUCCUCAGCACCACAUAAAAAUAAGUAAAGAGAUGUGUGUCCAUCCAAAACCAAUAUUAUUAAAGAAAACACAAUUCUGGGUGGAGAAUAUCCACUUCUUCAUGUAAGGUUGCAAACAUUCAUGAAAUAAGAACAGGGACCAUUUUUGUCAAAUGAAUUUGUCCUCACACUAAGGUAGCUAGUCCAAAGGUGUUUGAGUUCCUUCUGGCUCAAAUACACAUAAAAAUCCCACCAUUUGCAGACACUUGGCAUCUAAUUUGGAUUGAAUAGCAGUAUGUACUCUUGGCCCAUUUUAUCUUCCCUCAUUCUCAGGAAGGGUGUCAAGCCUACCAUGACCUUAGACAAAUGAAGGGCAUGGACACUUCCACUUAACCAUUCUGGACUUGUGUAGUUCUGGAAUCCUCCAGUCGGAUAUUUAGGAUGAGUGUUUAUAAGGAAGAAGAUGAGUGGACUUAGUUCCAUGAGGGAGAGUUCUUGUUUGAAUGGUGGUUAUUGGUGAGGUGGUUGUAAGAGAUAGUUGUGUAAACCUCAGAUGUAACAGUGGUGUGAAUCUCAGCAGAGACCUGCAUUCUGGGGCUUACCCAAUACAUGUGUUUCAGCAAAUUGUUUAGGAUUUUAGGUACCCCAGCACCAGAGAUGUCUUUGGGAAAUGAAAGCAAGGCCCAGUGUGGAUUUUCCACAACAUCAGGAAUCUCAGUGAUGAAUUCACACAUUAUUCUCUGCAGAGCCUUAUGAGCCAAAGUUGAAAGCCUGAAACACACAUGUUUCUCAAAAUUUAGACCCAUUUGAACGGCUGCAUGCAGCCUGUUGACCAAGAUCUGCAAAGCCCACUUGGCAUGAGUUCUACAGAUGUUCCAGCUAAAGGAGAUUCUUCACCAAUUAUUAGCCCUUGUCUCAAUCCAAAUUCCACAUAACCUCUUACUUCAUUCUUCAAAUAUGGCCAUACCAAUAGCCUGAAAAUUUGAAAAUUCCCAUGACCUGGAACCACUGAAGCACUUUAAAAUAGCUCCUUAUUGCUCGUCAUGACUGAAUGACAGAGGGAAUUCAUUGACAGAAACUCAUGAAAAUGCUGGAGAUCAUAGAACCAGUGAGUUUGAGCAUGCUGAUGAAGGUGCCUGGGGCAGGAGAGUAGGUGUGUGCCAAGAAAUCUGUGACAAAACCAUGUGGAUGUGGCAUUGGCAUCCAAACAGCAUGUUUCUCAAAUCAUGAAGCUAGCAGACUGUCCCAAGUCAAGGCAUCCUGUUGUGGAGAAUUUUUUGGAGCUAUACUCAGAAUCAGGGUUCUAGUCUGAGUUGGGAAAUAUGUAUGUGAUAGCAGUCAGGCUGAUGUUUUCUCCUGCAGAUAUUGAUUCACCACCUGUGAUGUAAGUCCCUCUAGCACUUUGUCCCAGCUGAGCUUGAUAUCCUUCUUUAAACAAAUACCAAACUCCCUGUGAUAGCAUUAGAACUACUGUGAAACCUAGAUGGUUUCCCAAUGGCUUCACACUGCACACAGAGACAUUCAGCCCCCACGGGUCACAGUUUAUCUCCAGGAAGAGGAUUCAGCUCUCCUGCCUCAUGCACAUUGGAAAACAGAAAACUAUGUCUUCUAGUUCACUUAGGUGGAGAUCCAGUUGUGAUUUUCUCACUUCAAAGAGAGCCAACACUCAACAGCAACAUAAAUUUCAAGUACCAAAAUUGUAGAGGCAAGUUGUCAAGCAAUCAUUAGGCCAGCACACUUUCAUAUUUGUGCCUUGUUUACCUUUAC